AUAAUGAUACUUCUGUCUAGUCAUAGACUCAAUCAAUGAGGGCAGUUUUGUGAGAACCACAAAGAGGUGAAAUUCCUAUGG
The submitters of this non-coding RNA (81 nucleotides) gave its source as unclassified sequences. The record is from Rfam.